CAUUGGCCGCUGAUUACAUUACAUUGGUAACCCCUGGGCUAAAACAUACAGAGACGCUAACUACCUUUAGUCCUGUUGACUAUAGUGUCUCCCAGUGGUGGAAAAACCACUGAAUUAGUUGACUAUAGAGUCUCCCAACGGUGGAAAAACCACUGAAUUAGUUGACUAUAGAGUCUCCCAACGGUGGAAAAACCACUGAAUUAGUUGACUAUAGUGUCUCCCAACGGUGGAAAAACCACUGAAUUAGUUGACUAUAGUGUCUCCCAACGGUGGAAAAACCACUGAAUUAGUUGACUAUAGUGUCUCCCAACGGUGGAAAAACCACUGAAUUAGUUGACUAUAGUGUCUCCCAACGGUGGAAAAACCACUGAAUUAGUUGACUAUAGUGUCUCCCAACGGUGGAAAAACCACUGAAUUAGUUGACUAUAGUGUCUCCCAGUGGUGGAAAAACCACUGAAUUAGUUGACUAUAGAGUCUCCCAGUGGUGGAAAAACCACUGAAUUAGUUGACUAUAGUGUCUCCCAGAGGUGGAAAAACCACUGAAUUAGUUGACUAUAGUGUCUCCCAGUGGUGGAAAAACCACUGAAUUAGUUGACUAUAGAGUCUCCCAGUGGUGGAAAAACCACUGAAUUAGUUGACUAUAGAGUCUCCCAGUGGUGGAAAAACCACUGAAUUAGUUGACUAUAGUGUCUCCCAACGGUGGAAAAACCACUGAAUUAGUUGACUAUAGUGUCUCCCAACGGUGGAAAAACCACUGAAUUAGUUGACUAUAGAGUCUCCCAGAGGUGGAAAAACCACUGAAUUAGUUGACUAUAGUGUCUCCCAACGGUGGAAAAACCACUGAAUUAGUUGACUAUAGUGUCUCCUAGUGGUGGAAAAACCACUGAAUUAGUUGACUAUAGUGUCUCCCAGAGGUGGAAAAACCACUGAAUUAGUUGACUAUAGUGUCUCCCAACGGUGG
Long non-coding RNA from Oncorhynchus keta (chum salmon), 961 nucleotides. RefSeq lists it as uncharacterized. Lineage: Eukaryota; Metazoa; Chordata; Actinopteri; Salmoniformes; Salmonidae. The record is from RefSeq and is a predicted model, not a curated record. The transcript is spliced from 3 exons.